RNAcentral lists this ribosomal RNA (503 nucleotides) under uncultured bacterium. Its description in RNAcentral is "partial 16S ribosomal RNA". It matches the Rfam family "Bacterial small subunit ribosomal RNA", at positions 30 to 523 of the family's 1533-position model. The record is from RNAcentral.
AUUGAACGCUGGCGGCAGGCUUAACACAUGCAAGUCGAGCGGGGUGAUGGUGCUUGCACUAUCACUUAGCGGCGGACGGGUGAGUAAUGCUUGGGAAUCUGCCUAUUAGUGGGGGACAACAUCUCGAAAGGGAUGCUAAUACCGCAUACGUCCUACGGGAGAAAGCAGGGGAUCACUUGUGACCUUGCGCUAAUAGAUGAGCCUAAGUCGGAUUAGCUAGUUGGUGGGGUAAAGGCCUACCAAGGCGACGAUCUGUAGCGGGUCUGAGAGGAUGACCCGCCACACUGGGACUGAGACACGGCCCAGACUCCUACGGGAGGCAUCAGUGGGGAAUAUUGGACAAUGGGGGGAACCCUGAUCCAGCCAUGCCGCGUGUGUGAAGAAGGCCUUAUGGUUGUAAAGCACUUUAAGCGAGGAGGAGGCUCUUUUGGUUAAUACCCAAGACGAGUGGACGUUACUCGCAGAAUAAGCACCGGCUAACUCUGUGCCAGCCGCCGCCGCAG